UAAGGAAUAUUGGUCAAUGGACGAAAGUCUGAACCAGCCAUGCCGCGUGGAGGAUGAAGGUCCUCUGGAUUGUAAACUUCUUUUAUAUGGGACGAAAAAAGGGUUUUCUAACUCGUCUGACGGUACCAUAUGAAUAAGCACCGGCUAACUCCGUGCCAGCAGCCGCGGUAAUACGGAGGGUGCAAGCGUUAUCCGGAUUCACUGGGUUUAAAGGGUGCGUAGGUGGGUUGGUAAGUCAGUGGUGAAAUCUCCGAGCUUAACUUGGAAACUGCCAUUGAUACUAUCAGUCUUGAAUACCGUGGAGGUCAGCGGAAUAUGUCAUGUAGCGGUGAAAUGCUUAGAUAUGACAUAGAACACCAAUUGCGAAGGCAGCUGGCUACUCGGAUAUUGACACUGAGGCACGAAAGCGUGGGGAUCAAACAGGAUUAGAUACCCUGGUAGUCCACGCCCUAAACUAUGGAUACUCGACAUUUGCGAUACACAGUAAGUGUCUGAGCGAAAGCAUUAAGUWUCCCMCCUG
RNAcentral lists this ribosomal RNA (520 nucleotides) under uncultured bacterium. Its description in RNAcentral is "bacterial SSU rRNA". It matches the Rfam family "Bacterial small subunit ribosomal RNA", at positions 355 to 875 of the family's 1533-position model. The record is from RNAcentral.